Molecule: ribosomal RNA, 270 nt
Filed under: uncultured archaeon
Lineage: Archaea
Description: partial 16S ribosomal RNA
Rfam family: Archaeal small subunit ribosomal RNA
Source: RNAcentral
CAGCACCUCAAGUGGUCAGGAUGAUUAUUGGGCCUAAAGCAUCCGUAGCCGGCGCUGUAAGUUUUCGGUUAAAUCUGUACGCUCAACGUACAGGCUGCCGGGAAUACUGCAGCGCUAGGGAGUGGGAGAGGUAGACGGUACUCGGUAGGAAGGGGUAAAAUCCUUUGAUCUAUUGAUGACCACCUGUGGCGAAGGCGGUCUACCAGAGCACGUCCGACGGUGAGGGAUGAAAGCUGGGGGAGCGAACCGGAUUAGAUACCCGAGUAGUCC